This 434-nucleotide ribosomal RNA is filed under the name uncultured bacterium. RNAcentral describes it as "bacterial SSU rRNA". It matches the Rfam family "Bacterial small subunit ribosomal RNA", at positions 355 to 787 of the family's 1533-position model. The record is from RNAcentral.
UGAGGAAUAUUGGACAAUGGGCGAAAGUCUGACCCAGCCAUCCCGCGUGCCGGAAGACGGCCCUCAGGGUUGUAAACGGCUUUUGACGGUGAAGAACCGACAGGAUGCGUCCUGUUUUGACGGUAGCCGUUGAAUAAGCACCGGCUAACUCCGUGCCAGCAGCCGCGGUAAUACGGAGGGUGCGAGCGUUGUCCGGAUUUAUUGGGUUUAAAGGGUGCGUAGGCGGGAUGCUAAGUCAGUGGUGAAAGACGGUGGCUCAACCAUCGCAGUGCCGUUGAUACUGGUGUUCUUGAAUGCGGAUGAGGUAGGCGGAAUGUGGCAAGUAGCGGUGAAAUGCAUAGAUAUGCCACAGAACACCGAUUGCGAAGGCAGCUUACCAAAUCGUUAUUGACGCUGAUGCACGAAAGCGUGGGGAUCAACAGGAUUAGAUACCC